CCGAGGGAGCGCAGCCGGCUGUGUGAGGGAUCAGAAGGUGGACGAGGCUGCGGGUGUCCUGCUCAGUGUUACGCUGGUCCUCUACGGAACCCAACCACCAAAUGGGGCCCCUCUAGGGACCGUAGUAUCCCUGGGGACCCACCACCUGGUUCCCCAGGCUGAGCUGCAUGCCAGGGGCCCCUCUACGGUUCUUGAUGUCAUCCAAUGGGCCUACCAGCUGGAGACAGAGAGGAGGGUGUGCUUUGAGGACAUCCCUGACCCACCUAGACCUGAGUGUACCAAAGAAAGCACGCAUCCAUCCCUGGACCUGACCUACUUACACGCAGACGACACUGACGCGGUGCAGACACGUG
Molecule: long non-coding RNA, 353 nt
Organism: Gadus chalcogrammus (walleye pollock)
Lineage: Eukaryota; Metazoa; Chordata; Actinopteri; Gadiformes; Gadidae
Exons: 3
Source: RefSeq, a predicted model, not a curated record